This 492-nucleotide ribosomal RNA is filed under the name uncultured bacterium. Its description in RNAcentral is "partial 16S ribosomal RNA". It matches the Rfam family "Bacterial small subunit ribosomal RNA", at positions 29 to 507 of the family's 1533-position model. The record is from RNAcentral.
AGUGAACGCUGGCGGUAGGCCUAACACAUGCAAGUCGAACGGCAGCACAGUAAGAGCUUGCUCUUACGGGUGGCGAGUGGCGGACGGGUGAGGAAUACAUCGGAAUCUACUUUUUCGUGGGGGAUCACGUAGGGAAACUUACGCUAAUACCGCAUACGACCUACGGGUGAAAGCAGGGGAUCUUCGGACCUUGCGCGAUUGAAUGAGCCGAUGUCGGAUUAGCUAGUUGGCGGGGUAAAGGCCAACCAAGGCGACGAUCCGUAGCUGGUCUGAGAGGAUGAUCAGCCACACUGGAACUGAGACACGGUCCAGACUCCUACGGGAGGCAGCAGUGGGGAAUAUUGGACAAUGGGCGCAAGCCUGAUCCAGCCAUACCGCGUGGGUGAAGAAGGCCUUCGGGUUGUAAAGCCCUUUUGUUAGGAAAGAAAAGCAGCAGGUUAAUACCCCGCUGUUCUGACGGUACCCAAAGAAUAAGCACCGGCUAACUUCGUG